GUGCUCACUUUGGCAGCACGUAUACUGAAAUUAUAAUAAUCCAGAGAAGAUUAGCAUGGCCCCUGUGCAAGGAUGACAUGCAAAUUCAUGGAGCAUUCCAGAUUUUU
Small nuclear RNA from Octodon degus (degu), 107 nucleotides. NCBI's taxonomy places the organism in Eukaryota, Metazoa, Chordata, Mammalia, Rodentia, Octodontidae. The record is from Ensembl.